AUUGAACGCUGCGGCAGGCUUAACACAUGCAAGUCGAGCGAGCGGCGGACGGGUGAGUAAUGCUUAGGAAUCUGCCUAUUAGUGGGGGACAACAUCUCGAAAGGGAUGCUAAUACCGCAUACUAUUAGAUGAGCCUCAGUCGGAUUAGCUAGUUGGUGGGGUAAAGGCCUACCAAGGCGACGAUCUGUAGCGGGUCUGAGAGGAUGAUCCGCCACACUGGGAACUGGAACAGGGCCAGAAUCCUCCGGGAGGGAGCAGGGGGGGAAAUUGGACAAUGGGGGGAACCCUGGUCCAACCAUGCCGCGGGGGGGAAGAAGGGCUUAUGGUUGUAAAGCACUUUAAGCGAGGAGGCGUUACUCGCAGAAUAAGCACCGGCUAACUCUGUGCCAGCAGCCGCGGUAAUAC
RNAcentral lists this ribosomal RNA (405 nucleotides) under uncultured bacterium. Its description in RNAcentral is "partial 16S ribosomal RNA". It matches the Rfam family "Bacterial small subunit ribosomal RNA", at positions 30 to 526 of the family's 1533-position model. The record is from RNAcentral.